CUACGGGGAGGCAGCAGUAGGGAAUCUUCCACAAUGGACGCAAGUCUGAUGGAGCAACGCCGCGUGAGUGAAGAAGGUUUUCGGAUCGUAAAGCUCUGUUGUUGGUGAAGAAGGAUAGAGGCAGUAACUGGUCUUUAUUUGACGGUAAUCAACCAGAAAGUCACGGCUAACUACGUGCCAGCAGCCGCGGUAAUACGUAGGUGGCAAGCGUUGUCCGGAUUUAUUGGGCGUAAAGCGAGCGCAGGCGGAAUGAUAAGUCUGAUGUGAAAGCCCACGGCUCAACCGUGGAACUGCAUCGGAAACUGUCAUUCUUGAGUGCAGAAGAGGAGAGUGGAAUUCCAUGUGUAGCGGUGGAAUGCGUAGAUAUAUGGAAGAACACCAGUGGCGAAGGCGGCUCUCUGGUCUGCAACUGACGCUGAGGCUCGAAAGCAUGGGUAGCGAACAGGAUUAGAUACCCUGGUAG
Molecule: ribosomal RNA, 463 nt
Filed under: Lactobacillus delbrueckii
Lineage: Bacteria; Bacillati; Bacillota; Bacilli; Lactobacillales; Lactobacillaceae
Description: bacterial SSU rRNA
Rfam family: Bacterial small subunit ribosomal RNA
Source: RNAcentral